RNAcentral lists this transfer RNA (75 nucleotides) under Streptomyces sp. MS191. Its description in RNAcentral is "Streptomyces sp. ms191 tRNA-Val". It matches the Rfam family "tRNA". From Rfam's summary of the family: Transfer RNA (tRNA) molecules are approximately 80 nucleotides in length. Their secondary structure includes four short double-helical elements and three loops (D, anti-codon, and T loops). Further hydrogen bonds mediate the characteristic L-shaped molecular structure. tRNAs have two regions of fundamental functional importance: the anti-codon, which is responsible for specific mRNA codon recognition, and the 3' end, to which the tRNAs corresponding amino acid is attached (by aminoacyl-tRNA synthetases). tRNAs cope with the degeneracy of the genetic code in two manners: having more than one tRNA (with a specific anti-codon) for a particular amino acid; and 'wobble' base-pairing, i.e. permitting non-standard base-pairing at the 3rd anti-codon position. Lineage: Bacteria; Bacillati; Actinomycetota; Actinomycetes; Kitasatosporales; Streptomycetaceae. The record is from RNAcentral.
GCGCGAUUAGCUCAGCGGGAGAGCGCUUCCCUGACACGGAAGAGGUCACUGGUUCAAUCCCAGUAUCGCCCACCG